UACCCUGGUAGUCCACGCUGUAAACGAUGAAGACUAGAUGUUGGGCAGCUUAGACUGUUCAGUAUCGAAGCUAACGCGAUAAGUCUUCCGCCUGGGGAGUACGGUCGCAAGAUUAAAACUCAAAGAAAUUGACGGGGGCCCGCACAAGCGGUGGAGCAUGUGGUUUAAUUCGAUGCGACGCGAAGAACCUUACCUACCCUUGACAUCCAAAGAAUUUUGCAGAGAUGUGAAAGUGCCGAAAGGAACUUUGAGACAGGUGCUGCAUGGCUGUCGUCAGCUCGUGUUGUGAGAUGUUGGGUUAAGUCCCGUAACGAGCGCAACCCUUAUCCUUAGUUGCCAGCAUUUAGUUGGGGACUCUAAGGAGACUGCCGGUGAUGAACCGGAGGAAGGCGGGGACGACGUCAAGUCAUCAUGGCCUUUAUGGGUAGGGCUACACGCGUGCUACAAUGGGCGGUACAGAGGGCAGCGAAAGCGCGAGCUGGAGCCAAUCCCGAAAAGCCGUUCAUAGUCCGGAUCGGAGUCUGCAACUCGACUCCGUGAAGUCGGAAUCGCUAGUAAUCGCGAAUCAGAAUGUCGCGGUGAGUACGUUCCCGGGCCUUGUACACACCGCCCGUCACACCAUGGGAGUGGGUUGUACCAGAAGUAGGUAGUUUAACCGCAAGGGGAACGCUUACCACGGUAUGGUUCAUGACUGGGGUGAAGUCGUAACAAGGUAACCGUA
RNAcentral lists this ribosomal RNA (721 nucleotides) under uncultured endophytic bacterium. RNAcentral's name for it is "bacterial SSU rRNA". It matches the Rfam family "Bacterial small subunit ribosomal RNA", at positions 783 to 1504 of the family's 1533-position model. The record is from RNAcentral.